AUUGAACGCUGGCGGCGUGCCUAACACAUGCAAGUCGAGCGGUAACAGGUGUAGCGAUACAUGCUGACGAGCGGCGGACGGGUGAGUAACGCUUGGGAAUCUGCCUGUUAGUGGGGGACAACCCGGGGAAACUCGGGCUAAUACCGCAUACGCACUACGGUGGAAAGCCGGGGACCGCAAGGCCUGGCGCUAACAGAUGAGCCCAAGUCGGAUUAGCUAGUUGGUAGGGUAACGGCCACCAAGGCGACGAUCCGUAACUGGUCUGAGAGGACGACCAGUCACACCGGAACUGAGACACGGUCCGGACUCCUACGGGAGGCAGCAGUGGGGAAUAUUGGACAAUGGGCGAAAGCCUGAUCCAGCGACGCCGCGUGGGUGAAGAAGCCUGC
Molecule: ribosomal RNA, 389 nt
Filed under: uncultured bacterium
Lineage: Bacteria
Description: bacterial SSU rRNA
Rfam family: Bacterial small subunit ribosomal RNA
Source: RNAcentral